Molecule: ribosomal RNA, 520 nt
Filed under: uncultured bacterium
Lineage: Bacteria
Description: partial 16S ribosomal RNA
Rfam family: Bacterial small subunit ribosomal RNA
Source: RNAcentral
GACGAACGCUGGCGGCGUGCCUAAUACAUGCAAGUCGAACGCACUCUCGUUUAGAUUGAAGGAGUUUGCUCCUGAUUGAUAAACAUUUGAGUGAGUGGCGGACGGGUGAGUAACACGUGGGUAACCUGCCCUAAAGUGGGGGAUAACAUUUGGAAACAGAUGCUAAUACCGCAUAAAACCUAACACCGCAUGGUGUAGGGUUGAAAGAUGGUUUCGGCUAUCACUUUAGGAUGGACCCGCGGUGCAUUAGUUAGUUGGUGAGGUAAAGGCUCACCAAGACCGUGAUGCAUAGCCGACCUGAGAGGGUAAUCGGCCACACUGGGACUGAGACACGGCCCAGACUCCUACGGGAGGCAGCAGUAGGGAAUCUUCCACAAUGGACGAAAGUCCGAUGGAGCAACGCCGCGUGAGUGAAGAAGGUUUUCGGAUCGUAAAACUCUGUUGUUGGAGAAGAAUGUAUCUGAUAGUAACUGAUCAGGUAGUGACGGUAUCCAACCAGAAAGCCACGGCUAACUACGUG